GUGGGGAAUAUUGGGCAAUGGGCGAAAGCCUGACCCAGCAACGCCGCGUGAAGGAAGAAGGUCUUCGGAUCGUAAACUUCUAUCCUUGGUGAAGAUAAUGACGGUAGCCGAGAAGGAAGCUCCGGCUAACUACGUGCCAGCAGACGCGGUAAUACGUAGGGGGCAAGCGUUGUCCGGAAUGAUUGGGCGUAAAGGGCGCGUAGGCGGCCUGGUAAGUCUGGAGUGAAAGUCCUGCUUUUAAGGUGGGAAUUGCUUUGGAUACUGUCGGGCUUGAGUGCAGGAGAGGUAAGUGGAAUUCCCGGUGUAGCGGUGAAAUGCGUAGAGAUCGGGAGGAACACCAGUGGCGAAGACGACUUACUGGACUGUAACUGACGCUGAGGCGCGAAAGUGUGGGGAGCAAACAGGAUUAGAAACCCUGGUAGUCC
This 425-nucleotide ribosomal RNA is filed under the name uncultured bacterium. RNAcentral describes it as "partial 16S ribosomal RNA". It matches the Rfam family "Bacterial small subunit ribosomal RNA", at positions 354 to 796 of the family's 1533-position model. The record is from RNAcentral.